RNAcentral lists this ribosomal RNA (459 nucleotides) under uncultured bacterium. Its description in RNAcentral is "SSU rRNA". It matches the Rfam family "Bacterial small subunit ribosomal RNA", at positions 26 to 518 of the family's 1533-position model. The record is from RNAcentral.
AGAAUCAACGCUGGCGGCGUGCCUAACACAUGCAAGUCGAACGAGAAAGUGGAGCAAUCCAUGAGUAAAGUGGCGCACGGGUGAGUAACACGUGACUAACCUACCCUUGAGUGGGGGAUAAACCUAGAGAAAUCUGGGCUAAUACCGCAUAAUACCUUCGGGUCAAAGGAGCAAUUCGCUUAAGGAGGGGGUCGCGGCCGAUUAGUUAGUUGGCGGGGUAAUGGCCCACCAAGACUAUGAUCGGUAUCCGGCCUGAGAGGGCGCACGGACACACUGGAACUGAAACACGGUCCAGACUCCUACGGGAGGCAGCAGUGGGAAUUUUGCGCAAUGGGGAAACCCUGACGCAGCAACGCCGCGUGGAGGAUGAAGUCCCUUGGGACGUAAACUCCUUUACGAUCGGGACGAUAAUGACGGUACCGAGAGAAGAAGCCCCGCUAACUUCGCGCCAGCAGCCGC